GACCACGUAGCUCAGUUGGCAGAACAUUGGACUAGUAUCCCAAAGGUCGUGGGUCCGACUCCCACCGUGGCCA
This 73-nucleotide transfer RNA is filed under the name Paramuricea clavata. It matches the Rfam family "tRNA". Rfam says of the family: Transfer RNA (tRNA) molecules are approximately 80 nucleotides in length. Their secondary structure includes four short double-helical elements and three loops (D, anti-codon, and T loops). Lineage: Eukaryota; Metazoa; Cnidaria; Anthozoa; Malacalcyonacea; Plexauridae. The record is from Rfam by way of RNAcentral.